RNAcentral lists this ribosomal RNA (431 nucleotides) under uncultured bacterium. Its description in RNAcentral is "partial 16S ribosomal RNA". It matches the Rfam family "Bacterial small subunit ribosomal RNA", at positions 29 to 507 of the family's 1533-position model. The record is from RNAcentral.
AACGAACGCUGCCGGCAGGCUUAACACAUGCAAGUCGAGCGCCCCGCAAGGGUUGCUGCUGACGUGUGAGUAACGCGUGGGAACGUACCCUUAUCUUCUUGAUAGCUCCGGGAAACUGGAAUUAAUACCGAAUGUGCCCUUUGGGGGAAAGAUUUAUCGGAUAAGGAUCGGCCCUCGUUGGAUUAGCUAGUUGGUGGGGUAAAGGCCUACCAAGGCGACGAUCCAUAGCUGGUCUGAGAGGAUGAUCAGACACACUGGGACUGAGACACGGCCCAAACUCCUACGGGAGGGAGCAGAGGGGAAUAUUGGAAAAUGGGGGGAAGCAUGAUGGAGCCAUGACGGGUGAGUGAUGAAGGCAUUAGGGUUGUAAAGCUCGUUAAAAGGAGAAGAUAAUGACGGUAUCAGGAGAAGAAGCCACGGCUAACUUCGUG